Molecule: long non-coding RNA, 7242 nt
Organism: Cloeon dipterum
Lineage: Eukaryota; Metazoa; Arthropoda; Insecta; Ephemeroptera; Baetidae
Exons: 11
Source: RefSeq, a predicted model, not a curated record
GCUUUCAGGCCUUUCAGUUGCUCGAGUUUGCUGCAUCCACCAGCUCUUCGCACUACAAGAUGUCGAGAAGAAUAUCAGAAUCGGUUCCCGUUUCUAGCGCCUUCUAUAUAUUAAGAAUUGAUUGGUGUUUAUGAUGACAAUAGCCUCAAUUUUACGAUCGCAUAAUUAUGUGAUAUCACUCAGCGCCUGAAAACUUGUUGAGGGUGUCGCUGCUUUAAAACGGAAGAGGACGCUACCGCCAUGCUAAUAUAGAAAGGAAGUCUAUCAUAACCAACCUGAAGUGUGCACAUCGUAGCCAAGAUCAAAAUUUUGAAAAUAUUUUUAAAUUUUCUUUUGCAGGAGACUGAUUCUUACAACAAGAUUCCCACAUGAAUUUGGUGUUCAGUUAGGAUUGAAGCGCGAUAUUCGCGUUGACCCCAAUAGGGCGGUAUCUGCAAUAUGGAAUUAGACCUUAACAUUUUUUUCAGUUUGAUCGCUGCGUUGCGUUAAGGCGUUGGAAUAAUCCUCUUUUGAAGGAAAACAAAAAGCGAUGUCAAGGUGGUAGUUAAAUUUUUCGAAACCAUUACCAUGUAUUUUUCAGAUGAAAGCAGUCGAUUGCGUUAGGAUUUGAAAUAUUGAAACUAGAGAAUUUUUAUCGCUGCACCCGUAAUAGUGACCACGGUUACGGAGCCUAAAUUAAGGCGGUAGUAUUUUCUCGUGGAGUACUUUUAUGGAUUUUACAGACGAAAGCAGCUAUGUCCAUUAAUGAUGCACCCGGUGCACAAGCGAUAACAAAUUAGUCCUUGUUUGGGCGAGAAGCUAUCAACAGCGGUAGGAUAACAUCGUUUCGUAUUACUAUUAUUUUGCAGAUGAAGCGGUUCACUUUUCGUCGUGUUGAGUAAUAAAUAUCAGCUGGGCCUAAUAUUGAAAGGCAGUUACAAAGAACAAAAUAAUACAAAGCGGUAGGGUAAAGUAGUCUUGCCAUCAUGUGUUUUUGCAGAUGUAGCUGAUCUAAAUCCAUCCAGUAUAGAAAAUUGUCUCGGUUUAUACUAUGGCUAUAAAUUUGCGGUAGGGAAUAUUCGAUUUUUUGCGCUCAUGUUUUCUUGCAGAUUAAGCGGUUUUGUCAUCUUUGGAAUCGACCCUUCAGCCGCGGCUGAUGAAUUUAAGACAUGUAUAAUAGUCAGGAAAAAGCUCAAAACGUGGUAGGGAAAAGCUCAAAAUUCCCAAUUACGAGUUCUUUUGCAGAUGACGCCGAAUGGUCUGCAGUUGCGUUGAAAAGCUGCAGUUGUUGAGAAAUUGUAGAAAAAAGAACAGUAUAUCAUUAGGGUUCGUGGGGGGUUCCCUAAUAACCUCUUUAGAGUUUUCAGGUCGUUAGACUGACUGGUGAUAUUAAGCCUGUCAACACGUUUAGGCGGCAAUUGUGUCCAGUUGUAAUUAUCGGUUGAUUGUUAUUGCAGCCUUGAUUGAAUGGUAAUGAGAAUGGGUGGGGUUUAAACUAACUUUCGUUGCUAACAGAAGGCAGCUGCUUGGAAAGAAAAAUAGUCCCCAGUCUAGUAGGUUUUGCCAGGACGAAGCGUGCGUGUGGAUCGCUCGGUUUAUCAACUCUAUCGACAGUCAAGUUGAAGAUUCUGCCUGCUGGGCCGUAGAAGCAGCAGAAAAUCAAGAUACGAUGACACAAAUUUAAAAUUGCAUCAUUUGUUUGGGGGCGGGGAACUUCUAAUCCCUCUGUUGUCAGUCAGGGUGAAGGCGCCCUUCGCGUGAAGUCCCUAAUCAUAAGCAGCACUCUCGCCUUAUGUAAAUUCCUUGUAUCGUGCCGAUUUGAAGCUCCAACGUGAAGAUUGCGUAAGACGGAAUUUUGAUUAUCAUCUUGAACCAUUGUUCGACAGGAGCGGAAAUGCCUUUGCGACAAGCCACCCGUAUCUGAAGUCCCCGUUAGAGAUAAACCAUGUGAAAAUGAAACGAACGUAACAAUGUUAGGGUGGGGGCGAGGGUUCAUUAACCUUCUUUUGUCUCCAGAACCGUUCAGCAGUAUGAUUUAGCAGACUCGAGAGUUAAAAAUACAAGUGCCUCGUGCCGUCUCCCUGAAGGAGCUGAAAUAAGUUUAUCAGAUAAUAUUUCUGGCGUUUGGGAGGGGUUUCGUAACCUGCUGAUUGCAGUUCCUGUCUGUCAACAGUAGAGCAACCCUAUGCAAGUUUUUCGGAAUCACAAGAUAGCGACGAGAUUCGACCCAUUCACAAUUCCCGGUUGGUGAUCUGCGUUUAAAGCAGCUGAAUCUAGAAGAUAUAAUAUGUCGGUCGGUCUGAUAAUUUAAUUAGGUCAUUGCUGGGUGGGGGGAAAGGGGUUCAAGUUAACCCGUUUUGAGAUUUCAGCCAAUCCUGCUAUGCACCGACGCUGAUUAAAGAAUAUCUACCUGCUACGCGUUUGAAGAAGAAUCGAGUAUCACGAGAAUGUGGAGUCUGCCUUAGUAUUCGGGAACAGAACGUUACCCUCCUGGUCGAGAAAACGCGGAAGCAGUCAAGCCUGCUACAGGAUCCUCCUUAAAUGCAUUGAUGCCCCUUUCCGGUUUGCUUGCGGAAGAAGUCAACAAAUACUCCACUUGCUUUUCUUAUCGGUCAGGUAGACAGACUAAGGAGAGUCUGAUAUAAUUUCCAUGUUUGGGUGGGGUGGGGGUUUGUAAUUAACCCGACUUUUGCUGUGGCACAGUUUGGAGCACCCAACUGAAGUAAGGCCACGACUUAAGAGAAAUCUGCCCCGGAAUUGGGAUGCCAAGGAGCGCCGAAACAUUUCACCGGGAGCGUUUGGCUGCACGUAACGUCUUACCAAGCAGAAAGAACAUGACUCGCACGAAAAUGAUGUACGAUGAUCAGCCGUCCAUGCCUCUGUUUCUAUAUUCGCUCGACCAGCUCAAUGCAGAAAGAAAAGAUAUCCAGUUUCAUUGUCUAGGUAGUUAGGAUCAGAGGGGGGUACUAAUGUCUUGUUUUUCAGCUUUCCCAUUCCCCGGUUCGCGUGAGGUGUGUCCUAAGCAUAGAUCGCGUGCAUUGUCCUGAGCUGGUAUCCAUUGUGGCCGUGCCUGAGCAGCAGCGGGCCUUUGCAGAGCUGGUGACCGAGCAGCCAGUCCCGUGCGUCCGUCAGUAGAGCAUUCAUUCCUGGGGUUACGAGCGAGAGGCUGGAUAGGGAGAAAGAAGUCGCGUCAUUCGCACCGAGCCGAGUAGAAAAAGAAGAUAAGUCCUCGCGUUUUUCACCGUUCGCGCUGAGAGUCUCCGUGGGUCCGGAUUCCGAAAAUUGGGUGCAUUACGCCCCUUCCUCCGAUACUUUCGUCCCGUCAUUACUUCUAUUCAGUUGGUCACUUUCGUCGUCGUCGCGUUUUUUUUUUGGGUCCCCGUUAGGCAGGAGAAGAAAGAAGAGAACCGUCCUCGUGGAAGACGAUGGCCUGGUGAAGAAGAAGACGGCCUGGCGCAGAAGCAGAUGGCAUGCAGACGAAGAAGACGGCCUGGAGAAGAAGAAGACGCCGGACAUCCAGGACAGAUGCUAACUUGUGCCCACCCUGGGCUCGACGAGAGUCUCAACGCCAGCGCUUCCUGCGCUAAUUGGGGGGUUUCUGGCCAGCUAAAUGCGGGUCCAGAAAGGUGGCUCAGGCCACGGGGGACGGGGGGCUCGUGCUUGAAGGCACGGUGAGGAUAGAAGAUGGCACCCCUUAAAAUAAUAAAACGCACGUGGCAAUCAACCCUGGAACCCCUAUUUUGCGGACUCCUGUUUCAUCUAUGAGAUCAAGAGAUUAUUUUUGUCGCAGUUGGAUAAGAGCUGAUGCCCAGGCAAGCAAAGAUUGAUCUUCGCAACGUGCGGGAGCUGUCCUCAUGCAGUCCCCGGCCGGGGGGUUUGCCAAGUGCAGCCCGUCGGCCACAGCAGCACGGCUAUGCCUGCGACAUUCUGUCCGCAGACGGGGCUUGGGCCCCUGGAAAAUUGUCGCCAGUGUCAGGCUGGCCAUUAGGCCGCCCGGUCGGUGACAAUUUCCAGCCCAUCCCGUCUCCUGCGACCAUUGAACUUCUGCAUUCUGACUGUCCUGAACGAUCCCCUACAUUAUUAGGAGUUGUGGCAUCGUUUUGGAUGGUGGAAUGUAGAGGUAGAUGGUUACAGGGGGCAUAUGCCGUUUGCUCUGUGCCGUGUCACUCGGGGCGCGACAUGAUGGAAAUGCAGCCCAAUCAUGCAAUAUGAACUGGAGGCCAUCGCUUAACCUGGAUAAUUGGGGAAAUUUUGUUCGACUGGAGUGAACCUUCCGCCAAAAGGAGAUUGUAUGUGAGUGUGCUUGGAUCGUUUCAACGUGGGACCAGAGGAAUUUCCCCAUUCCUUCUGCAAACUUCCUUUACAACCGUGUCGCAUACCGGAGUCUCGCAACUUCGGUGCCAAAGAGUGACCGGCAUAAAAUCAGCUCGACCUUAAUUUCCAUACUGACUGUGAUGUUUUAAACACAGUCGGUUGGAAAAGAAUGGUGAACGUUUACAAUCACCAUUCAACCAAGUUUUUUCUCCCUUUCAUUUAGACUUUAAUUGAAAGGGUUUUCUUGGUUAUGAAAUUACCAAUUACUUAUGGUAGUUUCUGACACCAAUUUUUCCCUUAAUAUUUCCCAUUCUAAGGGUUUUUAUUGGUUGUAAAAGAGAUAUGAAAUUACAUAAUUAUUGUAAAAUUUUACCAAAGUGGAAACCAAUUUUUUGUCCCUGUUGUAGGGUUUUAAUGGUUGUAAUAUUUGGAUUAAGAAAAUGUGAUAAUGUAUCAGAACUAAACCAAUUUUUCUCCCUAGCUCUAAAAUUCUAGGGGUUUUCUUUGGUUUUCAAAUCUUCUGACCUUGACAUCUGCAAAAUCUGUAUCUGGUUUUAUGCUCUCGUCUAGAAUUCCAGAUAAAAUCGAGCUUCACUCCAUCGCAAUGUGUUCCUGACAGUUAUAGUUAUGUGCAAUUAUACCGAAAAGUGUUUGCUGUGUACUUGAUUAUAAUUUAUUGUUCAUUAUAUUUGGAAAAAAUUGAUUAAAAAAUGUAUUUAUAAAUUGACUUGCUGGUCGUCAGCUUUUAAUUAACAACUUUUUCGCAAUAAAAGUUUCCCCCCCCCCUCCCGACGUCUUCCCGCGCUACCUUGAUUCCGAUCAUCCAGAACGUCUAGAUUUGGCAAGUAGAACAACCAAUUUUGAAUUGUAGUGAUCUGGAUGGAUAUAAAUAUUAAAGUAGAGUCAAAUCCGUGCCUUUUAGAAUUUUAAUAAUUAUUCCCUAGUCAUUUACAUUUAAUAGUAUACAUUUUAGAAUAUUUUAGAUCCUUUAUUAAAUUGCCCCAGCCAUCCAGAUUAGUUUUAACGUAAAUUAUUGGCACUAAAGAAAAGAAAAUUAAAUAUAGAUUUACGCUUGAUUAUUUUGUAUAUUUCCUUGAGCUUGCCGCCUACCUAGGCUAAGAGGAGAGACCACCCGGCCGCUGCACCUUCUACUUGGCAUGGGAACGCUGAUCCGAGAGCCAGACCGAGCGAGAUCCCUUUCUCAUCUAGGAGAUGCCGACGUUAGUUCUCACCGGGGACGAGCCCUUCUACUGUAUGGCCAGGGUUAGGCUACGCUAGAGGUCCGCAGAGACCGAAGGAGAACUGACGUGAGGAUGGAACACCACUGCGUUGAGCCUUAGCGAGAGUGCUCGGAACGGCUAACUAUACACCGAUGCAGCCUACUUCUUCUGUCGGGAAAGAGAAGCAAAAUAAUGGGAGCCCUGAGCACAGGAGCGAGUGCCCUAGCAGCGAUGAACUGGAGUCUUGACCACGACGAGAAGAAGAAAACACCACACUACAAGAAAGCAGUACACUCACAUAUACACAAUUCCUGUCAGAUUGAAACGAAAUAAACGAAAAAGAGACCGGAGGAGAACUGACGUGAGGAUGGAACACCACUGCGUUGAGCCUUAGCGAGAGUGCUCGGAACGGCUAACUAUACACCGAUGCAGCCUACUUCUUCUGUCGGGAAAGAGAAGCAAAAUAAUGGGAGCCCUGAGCACAGGAGCGAGUGCCCUAGCAGCGAUGAACCGGAGUCUUGACCACGACGAGAAGAAGAAAACACCACACUACAAGAAAGCAGUACACUCACAUAUACACAAUUCCUGUCAGAUUGAAACGAAAUAAACGAAAAAGAGACCGGAGGAGAACUGACGUGAGGAUGGAACACCACUGCGUUGAGCCUUAGCGAGAGUGCUCGGAACGGCUAACUAUACACCGAUGCAGCCUACUUCUUCUGUCGGGAAAGAGAAGCAAAAUAAUGGGAGCCCUGAGCACAGGAGCGAGUGCCCUAGCAGCGAUGAACCGGAGUCUUGACCACGACGAGAAGAAGAAAACACCACACUACAAGAAAGCAGUACACUCACAUAUACACAAUUCCUGUCAGAUUGAAACGAAAUAAACGAAAAAGAGACCGGAGGAGAACUGACGUGAGGAUGGAACACCACUGCGUUGAGCCUUAGCGAGAGUGCUCGGAACGGCUAACUAUACACCGAUGCAGCCUACUUCUUCUGUCGGGAAAGAGAAGCAAAAUAAUGGGAGCCCUGAGCACAGGAGCGAGUGCCCUAGCAGCGAUGAACCGGAGUCUUGACCACGACGAGAAGAAGAAAACACCACACUACAAGAAAGCAGUACACCCACAUAUACACAAUUCCUGUCAGAUUGAAACGAAAUAAACGAAAAAGAGACCGGAGGAGAACUGACGUGAGGAUGGAACACCACUGCGUUGAGCCUUAGCGAGAGUGCUCGGGACGGCUAACUAUACACCGAUGCAGCCUACUUCUUCUGUCGGGAAAGAGAAGCAAAAUAAUGGGAGCCCUGAGCACAGGAGCGAGUGCCCUAGCAGCGAUGAACCGGAGUCUUGACCACGACGAGAAGAAGAAAACACCACACUACAAGAAAGCAGUACACCCACAUAUACACAAUUCCUGUCAGAUUGAAACGAAAUAAACGAAAAAGAGACCGGAGGAGAACUGACGUGAGGAUGGAACACCACUGCGUUGAGCCUUAGCGAGAGUGCUCGGGACGGCUAACUAUACACCGAUGCAGCCUACUUCUUCUGUCGGGAAAGAGAAGCAAAAUAAUGGGAGCCCUGAGCACAGCAGCGAGUGCCCUAGCAGCGAUGAACCGGAGUCUUGACCACUACGAGAAGAAGAAAACACCACACUACAAGAAAGCAGUACACCCACAUAUACACAAUUCCUGUCAGAUUGAAACGAAAUAAAGUUGCCUGAUUGCUUCUACAGCGGA